CAAUAGCGUAUAUUAAAGUUGUUGCAGUUAAAAAGCUCGUAGUUGGAUUUGUGGCGUACGGUGGGUUCCGGGCACUUGUUGUCUGAGUAACUUGCUGUUGCCAUCCUUGGGUGGAACCUGUGUGGCAUUAGGUUGUCGUGCAGGGGAUGCCCAUCAUUUACUGUGAAAAAAUUAGAGUGUUCAAAGCAGGCUUAUGCCGUUGAAUAUAUUAGCAAGGAAUAAUGAGAUAGGACUUUUUUGCUAUUUUGUUGGUUUGCGCAAAGAGGUAAUGAUUAAUAGGGACAGUUGGGGGUAUUCGUAUUCCAUUGUCAGAGGUGAAAUUCUUGGAUUUUUGGAAGACGAACUACUGCGAAAGCAUUUACCAAGGAUGUUUUCAUUAA
Molecule: ribosomal RNA, 380 nt
Filed under: uncultured eukaryote
Lineage: Eukaryota
Description: partial 18S ribosomal RNA
Rfam family: Eukaryotic small subunit ribosomal RNA
Source: RNAcentral